This is a long non-coding RNA of Apis florea (little honeybee), 374 nucleotides long. The record is from RefSeq and is a predicted model, not a curated record. Lineage: Eukaryota; Metazoa; Arthropoda; Insecta; Hymenoptera; Apidae.
UCUCUCUAUCUCUCUUUUUCACUCGCUCACCCGCUCUUCCUCCCUCCCCCUCCCGUUUCGAUGUAUGGAGUUUGUACACGGCAAUUUAAUAAAUGAUCAAAUAUUAUAUUAAUUUAAUGUUUUCAAGCCGGCGCUCGCGUUGCGUGUUUGCGCGGGCGCGCACAAAAUUGAUAUUUUCUUUCUUCUACAAUUUCCACGACAAACAGCCGCCGUAGAAUCCCCGUCAACAACGGCAAACAACAAAUUAAUUCGUUGUUUAAACAGUUGCAGAGGUCGGCUGUUUGUCGCUGGCAAACGCGUUUAACGCCACCGACGACCAAGGAACGAUCCUGCUAAAUUCGAAAGGAGCUUUCUUAAUACUUGAUGAAAACAAA